This is a long non-coding RNA of Sinocyclocheilus grahami, 210 nucleotides long. RefSeq lists it as uncharacterized. NCBI's taxonomy places the organism in Eukaryota, Metazoa, Chordata, Actinopteri, Cypriniformes, Cyprinidae. The transcript is spliced from 3 exons. The record is from RefSeq and is a predicted model, not a curated record.
UAAGAUCCUGGUGAAAAAUGAAGCUGGUGAUCAGUUUGUCAUUAAAAAGUUGAGCGCUAACCAGGACGAAUCAAAGUUUCUCCCCCAUCUCAAUCACCCACACAUCGUCCAGCACAAGGAAUUUAUCAAAGAUUCUGACUGUCUGUAUCUUGUACUGGAGCACUGUGAAGGCGGAGAUCUCGCUCAGAAAAUCAAAAACAAAAAGGAGGA